GGUUCAGAACGUCGUGAGACAGGUCGGUCCCUAUCCGUCGCGGGGGUAGGAAAUGUGAGAGGAGCUGUCCUUAGUACGGGAGGACCGGGAUGGACGCACCGCUGGUGUAACAGUUGUUCCGCCAGGAGCACAGCUUGGUAGCGAUGUGCGGAAGGGAUAAGCGCUGAAAGCAUCUAAGCGUGAAGCCCCCCUCAAGAUGAGAUUUUCCAUCGCGUCAAGCGAGUAAGAUCCCUUGAAGAUGAAAAGGUAGAUAGGUCCGAGGUGGAAGCGUGGAGACACGUGCAGCUGACGGAUACUAAUCGAUCGAGGACUUAACUAAG
This 320-nucleotide ribosomal RNA is filed under the name Anoxybacillus flavithermus. RNAcentral describes it as "partial 23S ribosomal RNA". It matches the Rfam family "Bacterial large subunit ribosomal RNA", at positions 2608 to 2925 of the family's 2925-position model. The record is from RNAcentral. Lineage: Bacteria; Bacillati; Bacillota; Bacilli; Caryophanales; Anoxybacillaceae.